GAGAACAGUGGUGUAGUUGGUCAUCACUUCUGUUGAACAUGCAGAAGGUCCCCAGUUCGAAUCUGGGUGUUUUCU
Molecule: non-coding RNA, 75 nt
Organism: Pluteus cervinus
Lineage: Eukaryota; Fungi; Basidiomycota; Agaricomycetes; Agaricales; Pluteaceae
Source: the annotation of a GenBank genome assembly